GACGAACGCUGGCGGCGUGCCUAAUACAUGCAAGUUGAGCGAUGAAGAUUGGUGCUUGCACCAAUUUGAAGAGCAGCGAACGGGUGAGUAACGCGUGGGGAAUCUGCCUUUGAGCGGGGGACAACAUUUGGAAACGAAUGCUAAUACCGCAUAACAACUUUAAACAUAAGUUUUAAGUUUGAAAGAUGCAAUUGCAUCACUCAAAGAUGAUCCCGCGUUGUAUUAGCUAGUUGGUGAGGUAAAGGCUCACCAAGGCGAUGAUACAUAGCCGACCUGAGAGGGUGAUCGGCCACAUUGGGACUGAGACACGGCCCAAACUCCUACGGGAGGCAGCAGUAGGGAAUCUUCGGCAAUGGACGAAAGGCUGACCGAGCAACGCCGCGUGAGUGAAGAAGGUUGUCGGAUCGUAAAACUCUGUUGGUAGAGAAGAACGUUGGUGAGAGUGGAAAGCUCAGCAAGUGACGGUAACUACACAGAAAGGGACGGCUAACUACGUG
Molecule: ribosomal RNA, 497 nt
Filed under: uncultured bacterium
Lineage: Bacteria
Description: partial 16S ribosomal RNA
Rfam family: Bacterial small subunit ribosomal RNA
Source: RNAcentral